CAAUCAUGAUUUUUCACAAUGUUAGUUGGAAAAGUUGUGGAUAUUUAUUUCGAUAUUUCGCCACGAAAAGUUCGUAUUUUUGAAGGUAAGUUUUUAUAAUUGUUUUAAAUAUGAGUCAAAUUAACGAUUUUUUCUUUAUUUGGUGUUUUAACAACGUUUAGUUGUAUGUUAAUCGCAAUUUGUAUUGACCUGUUUUCCGGGUCAAUGCACAAGUGUCAAAAGUGGCUUUCAAAACCGCUGGGGACAAUUGGGUUUAUAAAUGAGUAAAUUAAAUAAAAGACACGGCAUCGUAUUCAGGAAGAGUUGUUCUUUCUAUGAGAAGUUUAAAAAAUGAAUUGUCCCCAUCAAACUGACGAGUAAUCGCGGUUUGAAAAUGGGGCAUUUUCGGUAUACUAUGUCGCCCAUCGCGGGAAUAGUCGACCGCAUGGGAAUUAUGGCGCGAGGAAAAUUACUGUGCGAGUCGUUAUUUUUGUUUUAUUUCGAAGCAUGCGCAUAUAUGUCGGGUGAUUGCUAGAUAGUAUACUUCAAAAUAAGGUUUCCGUUUUUAUAACGUAGAAAAAACUAUCCUAACGCAAAACUAAACCCUAACCCUAAUACUAUCCCUCACCCUAACCUUAACCUAACCCUAACCUAAACCCUAACCUAACCCUAACUUAUUUUAAAAAUAGAAUAAAAACGGAAAUCUUAUUUUGAAGUAUACUAUCUAGCAAUUGCCAUAUAUGUCGAUCGUUGUUGAGUUUAACUGCUGCAUUUAAGUUAAAUACACUGUAUUUUACCAUUAUUUUUAUAGAAUUCGAAUAUAUUUUGUGAAAAUGGAAUCUGAUGAUGGCAAUGUUGUUUAUAUUGUUGAUCCUAAGUAUGGGAAAAGUUGAACUUAUGAAUUUAAUGCUGUUUUAGAACUGUUAUUGAGCAAACUGUUCCUACAUCCUGCUUUGGCAAAUGGUAUAACAUCUAAUCCAGCCAAGUUGUGCUCAUGAUCCAUUCAACUGAUUCAAGCAAUGAAACUAUUGAACCAGAAUAAUAAGAGCAACCUGUUAUAUAAAUUUGCCCAUACCUGCCUUUUAAUAGAUACAUAUUUUAGUAGACAUUUUACAUAUAAAUAUUGGUGUAUUGGUGACAUGAAAAUGUUGCAAUGAAUCUUAAGUAUUUACUUUAUAUAUUGUAACUUUGAAUAAAGCAUUUUAUUAACAUCAAUUAUGUAUGACCACUGCAUUU
Paramuricea clavata is the source of this 1215-nucleotide non-coding RNA. The record is from the annotation of a GenBank genome assembly. NCBI's taxonomy places the organism in Eukaryota, Metazoa, Cnidaria, Anthozoa, Malacalcyonacea, Plexauridae.